AUGGCAACCGCGGCCGGGGGGGGGGGUGGGGAGGGGUUUGAGGGGUGGGGGAGGGGCGGCGCUGUUGGGGGGGCCCCUCCCCCCUCCCCCCUCCCCCUCCCCUCCCCCACUGCCCCUCCCCCCCUUUUAUUCCCCAUCAUUUAUUUCACUUUAUUCCCAUUUUCCCCCCAUUUAUUUGUAAUAUUUUCCCCUCCCCCCCCCCCCCCCCCCCGGUAUCGAUCCCUCCCCUCCCCCACCCCUCCCCCUCCCCUUCCCCACCCCUCCCCCCCUCCCCUCCCCUCCCCCCCCCUCAUGGAGGAGUCUCCGCGCGCCGCCGAUGGAGGCGGAGGUCCCGGCCCGGAGCCGAGGCAGCGUCCGAGGGCGGCCGGAGAGGUACCGGGGACACACCUGGGGACAUUUGGGGACAUCUGGGGACACUUUGGGGACAUUUGGGGACAUUUGGGGUCACCUGGGGGUGUUUGGGGACACCUGGGGACGUUUGGGGACAUCCCUGGGACACCUGGGGACACUCUGGGGAUAUUUGGGGAGACUUUGGGGAUAUUUGGGGACAUCUAGGCACACCUUGGGGACAUUUUGGGGACACUUUAGGGAUGUUUUGGGUCAUCCCUGGGACAUCUGGGGACACUUUAAGGACACCUGGGGACACUUUGCUGACAUUUUGGGGACAUUUGGGGACACCUGGGGACAUUUGGGGACACCUGGGGACAUUUGGGGACACUUUAGGGACACUUCGGGGGACACCUGGGGACAUUUUGGGGACACCUGGGGACAUUUGGGGACACUUUAGGGACACUUUGGGGACAGUUGGGGACACCUGGGGACACCUUGGGACAUUUUGGGGACACUUUGGGGAUGUUUGGGGACACUUUGGGGACAGUUGGGGACAUUUGGGGACAUCCCUGGGACAUUUGGAGACACUUUGGGGACACCUGGGGACACUUUGGGGACACUUUGGGGACAUUUGGGGACACUUUAAGGACACCUGGGGACAUUUGGGGACGUUUGGGACACCUCUGAGGACACCUGGGCACACCUGGGGACACUUUGGGGUGUUUGGGGAGACUUUGAGGAUAUUUGGGGACAUCCCUGGGACAUUUGGGGACACUUUGGGGACAUUUUGGGGACACUUUGGGGAUGUUUGAGAGUUUUUGGGGAGUUUUUGGGGAGUUUUUGGGCUGUUUUGGCAGUUUUGGGGGAGUUUUGGCAGUUUUUGGGGUAUUUUUGGCAGUUUUUGGGGUAUUUUUGGCAGUUUUUGGGCUGUUUUUGGCAGUUUUUGGGGAGUUUUUGGCAGUUUUUGGGGUAUUUUUGGCAGUUUUUGGGGUGCUGCUCCAUGUGACCGCGUCCCCCCCGCGGUUCCGUCACCGCCGCCGCUUCCUCCGGAGCUUCCUGGAGCGGCCGGGCCGGCCCCGAGCCCCAAAAUCCCCCAAAUCCCCCCCAAAUUCCCUUCAAAUCCCCCCCAAAAUCCCCCCCAAAAUCCCCCCAAAAUCCCCCCCAAAAUCCCCUUAAAAUCCCCCCCAAAUCCCCCCAAAAUCCCCCCCAAAUUCCCUUAAAAUCUCCUCCAAAACCCCCCCAAAAUCCCCCCCAAAUCCCUCAAAAUCCCCCCCCAAAAUCCCCCCCCAAAUCCUUUAAGAAUCCCCCCAAUUUCCCCCCAAAAUCCUCCCCAAAAUUCCCCCUCAACUGCCCCAAAAUCCCCCGAAUUUCCCCCAAAUCCCCCAAAACCCCCCGGACCCACCAUGGUGAACCCCAACCUGCGGCCCUCAGGUAGAGGGGGGGUCUGGGGGGAUUUUGGGGGGAUUUUGGGUGGAUUUUGGUGUAUUUUGGGUGGAUUUGGCUGAACUUUGGUGGAUUUUGAGGAAUUUUUGGGAAUCCUGGAGAAUUUGGGGUGGAUUUCGCUGAAUUUGGGGUGGAUUUUGCUGAAUCUUGGAGGAUUUUAGGGGGAUUUGGUGGAUUUUGUGUGGAUUUUGCUGAAUUUUGGGUGGAUUUUGGAGAAUUUUGGGGGAAUUUGGUGGAUUUUGGAGAAUUUGGGGGGAUCUUGGUGGAUUUUGGGUGGAUUUUGGGGGAAUUUGGUGGAUUUUGGACGGAUUUUGUUGGAUUUUGGGUGGAUUUCGCUGAACUUGGGUGGAUUUUGGGGAAUUUUGGUGGAUUUUGGGGAAUUUUGGGGGUCUCUAGGGGGAUUUGGGGAUUUUGGGGGGGUCCCGCCCCCCCCACAGGCCGAAUUUGGGGCAUUUUGGGUCAUUGGCUCCUUUUGAGCCGCGAAUUUUCUUUUUUUUUGGGGCAAAAAAACCCAAAAUUGGCGAAAGCAGAAGUGAAAGUGGGGGGGGGAGGGGAGGGGGUUCCCCCCCCAAAUUCUCCCCUCCCCCCCCCGGGGUGACUCAGCCUCAUGCAAAUGAGGGGGGGGAGGGGAGGGGAGGGGAGGGGGCGACACCCCCGGGGCUCCCCUCCCCCACCCGCGCCGGGGCCGCCUGGAGCCGCUCGGAGCCCCAAAAUCCCCCAAAUCCCCCCAAAAAUCCUCCCGCAGGGGCGAGACCCCCCCCGCCAGGUAAUGGGGGAAAUUCGGGAGAAUUUGGGGAAUUUCGGGGGAAAUCUGGGGAAUUUGGGAUUUUGGGGGGGCUCGUGGGGCGGUUUGGGGCGAUUUGUGUCAGUUUUGGGGCGAUUUGAGUGAAUUUUGGGGCGAUUUGGGAUUUUGGGGGGGCUCGUGGGGCGGUUUUGGGGCGAUUUGUGUCAGUUUUGGGGCGGUUUCGGGUGAAUCGAAGGUGAUUUUGGGGUGAGUUUGGGGGAAUUUGGGCUUUUCGGGUGCUUUGCCGUAAUUUCGGGUGAUUUCGGCUGAUUUUGGGAGACUUUGGGGUGAUUUGGAGCUGUUUGGAAUAAUUUAAAGUGAUUUUGGGGUGAUUUUGGCUGAUUUUGGGGUGGUUUAAGGUGAUUUGGGGGCGAUUUCUUUAAUUGUGGGUGAAUUUGGGCUGAAUUUGGCUGGUUUGGGGUCAUUUUGAGGUGAUUUCCGCCGAUUUUGGGGUGGCCCUGAUGAAGUGAUUUCAGUGGGACUUUUGGGCUGAUUUUGGGGUCAUCCCGAGGUGAUUUGGGGCUGAUUUUGGGUCAUUUUGGGGUGAUUUCUGCUGGUUUUGGGGUGAUCUUGGGGGACGUUGGGGAUCAGGUGAUUUCAGGGUGAUUUUGGGGUGAUUUUGAACAAUUUGGGGCGAUUCUGGGGUGAUUUUGGACAAUUUUGGGUCAUUUUGGGGCGGUUUUGGGCCAUUUUGAGGUGAUUUCUGCUGAUUUUGGGGUGGUCUGGGGGGUUUUGGGCACGAAGCGAUUUCUGGCUGAUUUUUGGGUGAUUUUGGGCUGAUUUGAUUUUUUCCCCCAGAACUGAGGAUGUCUAAACCCCUGGAGCUGGAGAAGGAGCUGCCGGGGGAGCGCCCGGGUAGGGACUUUUGGGGACUUUUGGGGACAUUUUGGGACAUUUUGGGACAUUUUGGGGACAUUUUUGGGGGCCCUCGAGGGGAUUUGGGGACCCCCCUGAGUGUCCCCUCCCCCCCCAGACACAGAAACCAAUGGACCCGACACGAACCACCAGGUGAGAUUUGGGGAUUUUGGGGGUUUUUUGGGGGGUUUGGGGGGUUUUUUUGGGGGGUUUCACCCCCCCCAAAUCUGGGGGUCCCCCCAAAUUUGGCUCCUCCCCCCCCAGGCCCAGCAGAACAAACCCCCCCCCUUCGGCCCCGCCCCCCCCGGCCCCGGCGCCAAGGUAAGAGAGAGACCCCAAAAAUCCUCCCCAAAAUCCUCCCAAAAUAUCCCAAAAUCCUCCCCAAAAUACCCUGAAAAUCCUCCCCAAAAUCCUCCCAAAAUAUCCCAAAAUCCUCCUCAAAAUCCUCCCCAAAAUACCCCAAAAAUCCUCCCCAAAAUACCCCAAAAAUCCUCCCCAAAAUACCCCAAAAAUCCUCCCCAAAAAUCCUCCCCAAAAUACCCCAAAAAUCCUCCCCAAAAUACCCCAAAAAUUCUCCCCAAAAUCCUCCCAAAAUCCUCCCAAAAUCCUCCUCAAAAUCCCCAAAACUCCUGCCCAAAUACCCCAAAAUCCUCCCCAAAAUCCCUUUAAAAUCCUUCCCCAAAUCCUCCUCAAAUUCCCCCAAAAAUCCUCCCCAAAUCCCCCAGAAAAUCAUUCCCCAAAUUCCCAAAUCCGCCCCAAAUUCUGCCCCAAUUUUUACCCCAAAUUCCCCAAAUUUUGCUGCAAAUUUGGCCCCAAAUCAGCCCCAAAUCUGCCCCAAAUCCCCCAACUUUUCCCCCAAAUCCCCCAAAUCUGCCCCAAAUCCCCCAAA
Taeniopygia guttata (zebra finch) is the source of this 4301-nucleotide long non-coding RNA. The record is from Ensembl. Lineage: Eukaryota; Metazoa; Chordata; Aves; Passeriformes; Estrildidae.